GAUGAACGCUGGCGGCGUGCCUAAUACAUGCAAGUCGAGCGAACAGACGAGGAGCUUGCUCCUCUGACGUUAGCGGCGGACGGGUGAGUAACACGUGGAUAACCUACCUAUAAGACUGGGAUAACUUCGGGAAACCGGAGCUAAUACCGGAUAAUAUAUUGAACCGCAUGGUUCAAUAGUGAAAGACGGUUUUGCUGUCACUUAUAGAUGGAUCCGCGCCGCAUUAGCUAGUUGGUAAGGUAACGGCUUACCAAGGCGACGAUGCGUAGCCGACCUGAGAGGGUGAUCGGCCACACGGGAACUGAGACACGGUCCAGACUCCUACGGGAGGCAGCAGUAGGGAAUCUUCCGCAAUGGGCGAAAGCCUGACGGAGCAACGCCGCGUGAGUGAUGAAGGUCUUCGGAUCGUAAAACUCUGUUAUUAGGGAAGAACAAAUGUGUAAGUAACUAUGCACGUCUUGACGGUACCGAAUCAGAAAGCCACGGCUAACUACGUG
This 497-nucleotide ribosomal RNA is filed under the name uncultured bacterium. RNAcentral describes it as "partial 16S ribosomal RNA". It matches the Rfam family "Bacterial small subunit ribosomal RNA", at positions 28 to 507 of the family's 1533-position model. The record is from RNAcentral.